AUGGAGGAGAGCAGGGCUCGCGGCGUCGACAUUUCUCUGAACAUCAACCCAGCUUUCUCCAUGGACAGCACGAGCGACGCAAGGGCAACGCCAGUCAUGAUGCCUCGGAGGUCAACUUCGGUGAAGAUCGUGCCGAUCGCGUCGGACGACGAGAAUGAGAAAUCUCCAUCGCCCGACCCGAGGAGGGCGGUCGUGCAUCUGGUUAAGAAGGCAAUGGCCGAGUUCUUGGGAACGUUCCUGCUCGUCUUCAUCGUGCUGUCGGCGGCCAUCAUGAACGAGAUUCACGGCGGCGCGCUGGGCCUGCUGGGCGUGGCGGCGACGGCGGGCGCGGCCGGGGUCGUGAUCGUGGCGUCGCUCUUCCACGUCUCGGGGAGCCACCUGAACCCGUCAGUGAGCGUGGCCAUGGCCGUGUUCGGGUACCUCCCGUGGGCGCACCUCACGCCCUACGUGUCCGCUCAGUUCCUGGGCGCCGUCUCCGCGUCGUUCGUGGCCAAGGCGAUCUACCACCCGGCGGCGAACCUCAGCGCCGUCGUCACCACCGUGCCGUCCAUAGGCACGUUGGAGGCCUUCUCCAUCGAGUUCAUCAUCACGUUCAUCCUCCUCUUCGCCAUCAUCGCCGUCGCCACCGAUCCGAAAGCAGUCAAGGAGCUGGUAGCAGUGGCAGCUGGGGCAGCACUGAUGACGAACGUUCUCAUCGCCGCGGAAUCGACAGGAGCAUCAAUGAAUCCGGCGAGGACACUGGGAACGGCCAUCGCGACGGGGACGUACACGAAGAUCUGGGUUUACAUGGUUGCACCACCGCUGGGCGCCAUCGCCGGGACCGGAGCUUAUGUUGCACUUAAGCACUGA
This 849-nucleotide ribosomal RNA is filed under the name Triticum aestivum (bread wheat). Its description in RNAcentral is "partial small subunit ribosomal RNA". Lineage: Eukaryota; Viridiplantae; Streptophyta; Magnoliopsida; Poales; Poaceae. The record is from RNAcentral.